UUAAGUUAUUAAGGGCGCACGGUGGAUGCCUUGGCACUAGAAGCCGAUGAAGGACGUUACUAACGACGAUAUGCUUUGGGGAGCUGUAAGUAAGCUUUGAUCCAGAGAUUUCCGAAUGGGGAAACCCAGCAUGAGUUAUGUCAUGUUAUCGAUAUGUGAAUACAUAGCAUAUCAGAAGGCACACCCGGAGAACUGAAACAUCUUAGUACCCGGAGGAAGAGAAAGAAAAUUCGAUUCCCUUAGUAGCGGCGAGCGAAACGGGAAGAGCCCAAACCAACAAGCUUGCUUGUUGGGGUUGUAGGACACUCUAUACGGAGUUACAAAGGACGACAUUAGACGAAUCAUCUGGAAAGAUGAAUCAAAGAAGGUAAUAAUCCUGUAGUCGAAAAUGUUGUCUCUCUUGAGUGGAUCCUGAGUACGACGGAGCACGUGAAAUUCCGUCGGAAUCUGGGAGGACCAUCUCCUAAGGCUAAAUACUCUCUAGUGACCGAUAGUGAACCAGUACCGUGAGGGAAAGGUGAAAAGCACCCCGGAAGGGGAGUGAAAUAGAACCUGAAACCGUGUGCUUACAAGUAGUCAGAGCCCGUUAAUGGGUGAUGGCGUGCCUUUUGUAGAAUGAACCGGCGAGUUACGAUUUGAUGCAAGGUUAAGCAGUAAAUGUGGAGCCGUAGCGAAAGCGAGUCUGAAUAGGGCGUUUAGUAUUUGGUCGUAGACCCGAAACCAGGUGAUCUACCCUUGGUCAGGUUGAAGUUCAGGUAACACUGAAUGGAGGACCGAACCGACUUACGUUGAAAAGUGAGCGGAUGAACUGAGGGUAGCGGAGAAAUUCCAAUCGAACCUGGAGAUAGCUGGUUCUCUCCGAAAUAGCUUUAGGGCUAGCCUCAAGUGAUGAUUAUUGGAGGUAGAGCACUGUUUGGACGAGGGGCCCCUCUCGGGUUACCGAAUUCAGACAAACUCCGAAUGCCAAUUAAUUUAACUUGGGAGUCAGAACAUGGGUGAUAAGGUCCGUGUUCGAAAGGGAAACAGCCCAGACCACCAGCUAAGGUCCCAAAAUAUAUGUUAAGUGGAAAAGGAUGUGGCGUUGCCCAGACAACUAGGAUGUUGGCUUAGAAGCAGCCAUCAUUUAAAGAGUGCGUAAUAGCUCACUAGUCGAGUGACACUGCGCCGAAAAUGUACCGGGGCUAAACAUAUUACCGAAGCUGUGGAUUGUCCUUUGGACAAUGGUAGGAGAGCGUUCUAAGGGCGUUGAAGCAUGAUCGUAAGGACAUGUGGAGCGCUUAGAAGUGAGAAUGCCGGUGUGAGUAGCGAAAGACGGGUGAGAAUCCCGUCCACCGAUUGACUAAGGUUUCCAGAGGAAGGCUCGUCCGCUCUGGGUUAGUCGGGUCCUAAGCUGAGGCCGACAGGCGUAGGCGAUGGAUAACAGGUUGAUAUUCCUGUACCACCUAUAAUCGUUUUAAUCGAUGGGGGGACGCAGUAGGAUAGGCGAAGCGUGCGAUUGGAUUGCACGUCUAAGCAGUAAGGCUGAGUAUUAGGCAAAUCCGGUACUCGUUAAGGCUGAGCUGUGAUGGGGAGAAGACAUUGUGUCUUCGAGUCGUUGAUUUCACACUGCCGAGAAAAGCCUCUAGAUAGAAAAUAGGUGCCCGUACCGCAAACCGACACAGGUAGUCAAGAUGAGAAUUCUAAGGUGAGCGAGCGAACUCUCGUUAAGGAACUCGGCAAAAUGACCCCGUAACUUCGGGAGAAGGGGUGCUCUUUAGGGUUAACGCCCAGAAGAGCCGCAGUGAAUAGGCCCAAGCGACUGUUUAUCAAAAACACAGGUCUCUGCUAAACCGUAAGGUGAUGUAUAGGGGCUGACGCCUGCCCGGUGCUGGAAGGUUAAGAGGAGUGGUUAGCUUCUGCGAAGCUAUGAAUCGAAGCCCCAGUAAACGGCGGCCGUAACUAUAACGGUCCUAAGGUAGCGAAAUUCCUUGUCGGGUAAGUUCCGACCCGCACGAAAGGCGUAACGAUUUGGGCACUGUCUCAACGAGAGACUCGGUGAAAUCAUAGUACCUGUGAAGAUGCAGGUUACCCGCGACAGGACGGAAAGACCCCGUGGAGCUUUACUGUAGCCUGAUAUUGAAAUUCGGCACAGCUUGUACAGGAUAGGUAGGAGCCUUUGAAACGUGAGCGCUAGCUUACGUGGAGGCGCUGGUGGGAUACUACCCUAGCUGUGUUGGCUUUCUAACCCGCACCACUUAUCGUGGUGGGAGACAGUGUCAGGCGGGCAGUUUGACUGGGGCGGUCGCCUCCUAAAAGGUAACGGAGGCGCUCAAAGGUUCCCUCAGAAUGGUUGGAAAUCAUUCAUAGAGUGUAAAGGCAUAAGGGAGCUUGACUGCGAGACCUACAAGUCGAGCAGGGUCGAAAGACGGACUUAGUGAUCCGGUGGUUCCGCAUGGAAGGGCCAUCGCUCAACGGAUAAAAGCUACCCCGGGGAUAACAGGCUUAUCUCCCCCAAGAGUUCACAUCGACGGGGAGGUUUGGCACCUCGAUGUCGGCUCAUCGCAUCCUGGGGCUGUAGUCGGUCCCAAGGGUUGGGCUGUUCGCCCAUUAAAGCGGUACGCGAGCUGGGUUCAGAACGUCGUGAGACAGUUCGGUCCCUAUCCGUCGUGGGCGUAGGAAAUUUGAGAGGAGCUGUCCUUAGUACGAGAGGACCGGGAUGGACAUACCUCUGGUGUACCAGUUGUCGUGCCAACGGCAUAGCUGGGUAGCUAUGUGUGGACGGGAUAAGUGCUGAAAGCAUCUAAGCAUGAAGCCCCCCUCAAGAUGAGAUUUCCCAACUUCGGUUAUAAGAUCCCUCAAAGAUGAUGAGGUUAAUAGGUUCGAGGUGGAAGCAUGGUGACAUGUGGAGCUGACGAAUACUAAUCGAUCGAAGACUUAAUCAA
Molecule: ribosomal RNA, 2921 nt
Filed under: Staphylococcus aureus WMCA6086
Lineage: Bacteria; Bacillati; Bacillota; Bacilli; Caryophanales; Staphylococcaceae
Description: bacterial LSU rRNA
Rfam family: Bacterial large subunit ribosomal RNA
Source: RNAcentral